GAACUCGCGGAGGUANUACAGAUCGCCCGGUUGCCGCAAGGCNCCCGGUAACNACCACCNUUGUUAUUACACUUUGUGUUUGGCAGGCCUGCCCUCGGGCUGUGGCUCCGGCCGGCGAGCGCUGNCAGAGGACCUAAACUCUGUUGCAUACUGCUGANUACUAUAUAAUAGUUAAAACUUUCAACAACGGAUCUCUUGGUUCUGGCAUCGAUGAAGAACGCAGCGAAAUGCGAUAAGUAAUGUGAAUUGCAGAAUUCAGUGAAUCAUCGAAUCUUUGAACGCACAUUGCGCCCCCUGGUAUUCCGGGGGGCAUGCCUGUCCGAGCGUCAUUACAACCCUCAAGCUCAGCUUGGUAUUGGGCCCCGCCGCUCCGGCGGGCCCUAAAGUCAGUGGCGGUGCCGUCCGGCUCCGAGCGUAGUAAUUCUUCUCGCUCUGGAGGUCCGGUCGUGUGCUCGCCAGCAACCCCCAAUUUUUUUCAGGUUGACCUCGGAUCAGGUAGGGAUACCCGCUGAACUUAAGCAUAUCAAUAAGCGGGAGGA
RNAcentral lists this ribosomal RNA (539 nucleotides) under Pseudogymnoascus sp. APA-2015. RNAcentral's name for it is "eukaryotic LSU rRNA". The stretch from base 176 to 329 matches the Rfam family "5.8S ribosomal RNA". The record is from RNAcentral. Lineage: Eukaryota; Fungi; Ascomycota; Leotiomycetes; Thelebolales; Thelebolaceae.